RNAcentral lists this ribosomal RNA (3021 nucleotides) under Candidatus Eiseniibacteriota bacterium. RNAcentral describes it as "bacterial LSU rRNA". It matches the Rfam family "Bacterial large subunit ribosomal RNA". The record is from RNAcentral. Lineage: Bacteria; Candidatus Eiseniibacteriota.
CUAAGAGCAUAUGGUGGAUGCCUUGGCGUCAGAAGGCGAUGAAGGACGUGAUAAGCUGCGAAAAGCUGCGGAGAGGCGCAAAUAGCCAUAGACCCGCAGAUUUCCGAAUGGGGAAACCCGGCCGGGGUCAUACCCGGUCAGCCCGUUACUGAAUACAUAGGUUUCGGGCCGCCAACGGGGGGAAGUGAAACAUCUCAGUACCCCCUGGAAGAGAAAGCAACCGCGAUUCCCUAAGUAGCGGCGAGCGAACGGGGAACAGCCUAAACCGAGCGGCGCGCUAAAGCCUGCCAGCGUUGCGCCGUCGGUGUCGCGGGGCGUGUUCUGAUCCCGGGCAGCGGGGUCGGGGAGUUACAAAUCGAGCAUCUAGUCGAACCAUCUGGGAAGGUGGACCAUAGACGGUGAAAGUCCGGUAGACGACAGAGGCCUCGACUCCCUCGAAUGCGUUCCCAAGUACCGCGGGACACGUGAAAUCCUGCGGGAAUCUGGAGGGACCACCCUCUAAGGCUAAAUACUCUCUGACGACCGAUAGUGAACCAGUACCGUGAGGGAAAGGUGAAAAGAUCUCCUGGCGGAGAGUGAAAUAGAACCUGAAACCAUAUGCUUACAAGCGGUCGGAGGCUUAACCGGAACUUCGGUUCCGGAGCGGCUGACGGCGUGCCUUUUGCAUAAUGAUCCGGCGAGUUACUCGUACGUGGCAAGGUUAAGCGACUUCGUCGCGGAGCCGGAGCGAAAGCGAGUCCGAAAUGGGCGAUCAGUCACGUGCGGUAGACCCGAAGCGGGAGUGAUCUACGCAUGGCCAGGGUGAAGCGAGUUUAACAGUUCGUGGAGGCCCGAACCGGUUACCGUUGAAAAGGCAUCGGAUGAGCUGUGCGUAGGGGUGAAAGACUAAUCAAACUCCGUGAUAGCUGGUUCUCCCCGAAAUAGAUUUAGGUCUAGCCUCGAGAAAUUGUGUGGCGGGGGUAAAGCACUGAUUGGGCUAGGGACCCUACCAGGUUACCAAACCCUUUCAAACUCUGAAUACCGUUCACAUCUAUCUCGGGAGUAAGGGCGCGAGGGAUAAGCUUCGCGACCGAGAGGGAAACAACCCAGAUCGUCAGCUAAGGUCCCUAAGUGUGGGCUAAGUGUAUAAGGAUGUGGGAUCUCCGAGACAACCAGGAUGUUGGCUUAGAAGCAGCCAUCAUUUAAAGAGUGCGUAAUAGCUCACUGGUCAAGUAAUCCUGCGCCGACAAUGUCCGGGACUCAAGUUCACCACCGAAGCUGCGGAUGUGCGCCACCUUCGGGUGUCGUACGUGGUAGGGGAGCGUUCUGUUGUAGGAUGAAGGUGAACCGUAAGGUUCGCUCGACGAACCAGAAGUGAUUAUGCCGGAACGAGUAGCGAGAAACCAGGCGAGAAACCUGGUCACCGAAAACCUAAGGUUUCCUGAGCAAGGUUAAUCCUCUCAGGGUUAGUCGGACCCUUAGCCGAGGCCGAAAGGCGUAGGUGAUGGAAAACGGGUUAAUAUUCCCGUACCAGUCUUUAGGCGAUAAAGACACUAGGGGGUUACGCAGGAGUGACCGUCCAGCCCACGAUCGGAAGUGUGGGUCUAAGCCUGUAGGAGGUUCCCGUAGGCAAAUCCGCGGGGACAUUACUCCGAGAGGUGAUGGGGAGAGCGAAAGCUCACAAACUGGACUUAAUCAGACUGCCGAGAAACACCUCUAUGUGAGUUUGAAGGCUGUCCGUACCGCAAACCGACACAGGUAGGUGGGGUGAGUAUCCUAAGGUGCUCGAGUGAGUCUUGCAGAAGGAACUCGGCAAAAUAGCCCCGUAACUUCGGAAGAAGGGGUGCCCCGUGUACGUGUAGGGCUUCGCGCCCGAAGCGGAAAGGGGCCGCAGUGAAUGGGGUCAACCGACUGUUUACCAAAAACACAUGUCUCUGCUAAGCCGAAGAGGCGACGUAUAGGGACUGACACCUGCCCGGUGCCGGAAGGUUAAAGGGCGUGGUCAGCCGCAAGGCGAAGCCGCAAACUGAAGCCCCGGUAAACGGCGGCCGUAACUAUAACGGUCCUAAGGUAGCGAAAUUCCUUGUCGGGUAAGUUCCGACCUGCACGAAUGGUGUAACGAGUUGACCGCUGUCUCCUGCAAGAGCUCGGCGAAACUGUAGUAGCGGUGAAGAUGCCGCUUACCCGCGACUGGACAGAAAGACCCCGUGCACCUUUACUGUAGCCUGGUAUUGGGUUUUGACACUGCAUGUGUAGGAUAGGUGGGAGGCUUUGAAGCGGGGGCGCUAGCUCUCGUGGAGCCAACCUUGAAAUACCACCCUUGUGAUGUUGGAAUUCUAACCUCGUGCCGUGAAUCCGGCCGAGGAACAGUGCCAGGUGGGCAGUUUGACUGGGGCGGUCGCCUCCGAAAGAGUAACGGAGGCGUGCAAAGGUUCCCUCAGUGCGGUUGGUAAUCGCGCGUGGAGUGCAUUGGCAUAAGGGAGCUUAACUGCGAGACCAACAAGUCGAGCAGGUGCGAAAGCAGGCCAAAGUGAUCCGGUGGUUCUGUGUGGAAGGGCCAUCGCUUAACGGAUAAAAGGUACGCCGGGGAUAACAGGCUGAUCCCGCCCGAGAGUUCACAUCGACGGCGGGGUUUGGCACCUCGAUGUCGGCUCAUCGCAUCCUGGGGCUGGAGAAGGUCCCAAGGGUUCGGCUGUUCGCCGAUUAAAGCGGUACGUGAGCUGGGUUCAGAACGUCGUGAGACAGUUCGGUCCCUAUCCAUCGCGGGCGGAGGAGAUUUGAGGGGAGCUGACCCUAGUACGAGAGGACCGGGUCGGACGGACCUCUAGUGUAUCCGUUAUCGUGCCAACGGUAUGGCGGAGUAGCUACGUCCGGAUGAGAUAAGCGCUGAAAGCAUCUAAGCGCGAAACUCGCCUCGAGAUUAGAUCUCCCCUAGCAUUAGCUAGCUAAAGGACCCUCGGAGAUGACGAGGUUGAUAGGCCGGAGGUGUAAGCACGGCAACGUGUUCAGCCGACCGGUACUAAUCGUCCGUGCGGCUUGACC